GAACAGUUAAUUGGUAAGCCUUCCAUUUGGCUUUCAUCUUCCACCAUUUGUUCGAUAAAUGUGCUCACUUGGGAACUAGCUUUGGCUGUGUUAGACUGCCUUAUAGGUUCUAGUGUUGGUCGGUGCCACCUCUUUGUAUCCCAAAGUAUCGUACUAUUGAAUGCAAAUCCCGAUAUUUCUGCAUAGAAUCUCUGGAAUCUUUUUGUUCUACCUUCAGUAUGCCAACCUAUAACCUGAGAGCCGUUACAGAUUGGACCCUGCAAGAUAACUUUCCUAUUAUUUUCAGCUAGUCUUGCCACAAUCCAUGUCCCGAUCCGGCUGAUCUGUCUCAUCUGCUCGAAGACAUCAGCGGAGUAUAUGUUGUACUCAUCAGCAAAAUAGACGAUGCCAUCAAGGUGGUGUGUUUCAAUGUGAGAGAGUGCCACAUUCCUUAGAUGCACAUUUUUCUCUUUCACAUCAGUUAAGUUCUUGCUGCACACAAGAUGUCUGUACAUUACUCCGGUUCUUCUCAAUAUAUCAGCAGUUUCAACAGAUUGGGAGUCCAUCUCAACAACUAUCCAUAAUAAAGGAGAAGGCACCAACUCUAAUGCAUACGCCAGACGAUUUAGAUAGUAUGCUUGAAAUGGACGGGUUUCUGUAGGAGUCACAAUAAUCAAAAGUUUACGGGACACUAUCGGAUCUUGGUCAAGUAAUUGAUUAAAGGAGGCAUUGUAGGUAAUGUCUUCUUUCAGUUCAACAUGUACUAAAUUAGGCUCUGAUGUCGAAUUAUCCAUGAUAGUCAAGUCCUCAGUGGUUGAAGUCACAUUUCUAGAUACAUCAUAUGAUCGAGCAUUUUCUUCUGGCUGGAGGACCUCAAAGGAUAAAGCUUGAUGUUUAGAGAUAAAAUUUGUUGACAAAUUUAGUAAUGGAGUAAGGCCAAUAAAUACUCCAAGAACAAAACAGAAAAAGAAUUG
Molecule: unclassified non-coding RNA, 953 nt
Filed under: Hevea brasiliensis (rubber tree)
Lineage: Eukaryota; Viridiplantae; Streptophyta; Magnoliopsida; Malpighiales; Euphorbiaceae
Source: RNAcentral